RNAcentral lists this ribosomal RNA (256 nucleotides) under uncultured bacterium. Its description in RNAcentral is "partial 16S ribosomal RNA". It matches the Rfam family "Bacterial small subunit ribosomal RNA", at positions 524 to 776 of the family's 1533-position model. The record is from RNAcentral.
UACGAAGGGAGCUAGCGUUGUUCGGAAUUACUGGGCGUAAAGGGCGCGUAGGUGGCCACUUCAAGCGUGCGGUGAAAGUCGGGGGCUCAACCCCUGAUCGGCCGUGCGAACUGGGGGGCUGGAGCACUGUAGAGGCAGGCGGAAUUCCGGGUGUAGCGGUGGAAUGCGUAGAGAUCCGGAAGAACACCGGUGGCGAAGGCGGCCUGCUGGGCAGUUUUGCUGACACUGAGGCGCGACAGCGUGGGGAGCAAACAGG